GACGUAGGGCGCGAGCGUUGUCCGGAUUUAUUGGGCGUAAAGAGCUCGUAGGCGGCUUGUCGCGUCGUUCGUGAAAACCUGCAGCUCAACUGCAGGCUUGCGGUCGAUACGGGCAGGCUAGAGUUCGGUAGGGGAGACUGGAACUCCUGGUGUAGCGGUGAAAUGCGCAGAUAUCAGGAAGAACACCCGUGGCGAAGGCGGCUCUCUGGGACGGUACUGACGCUGAGACGCGAAAGCGUGGGGAGCGAACAGG
Molecule: ribosomal RNA, 253 nt
Filed under: uncultured bacterium
Lineage: Bacteria
Description: partial 16S ribosomal RNA
Rfam family: Bacterial small subunit ribosomal RNA
Source: RNAcentral